This 2296-nucleotide ribosomal RNA is filed under the name Staphylococcus aureus. RNAcentral's name for it is "bacterial LSU rRNA". It matches the Rfam family "Bacterial large subunit ribosomal RNA", at positions 3 to 2297 of the family's 2925-position model. The record is from RNAcentral. Lineage: Bacteria; Bacillati; Bacillota; Bacilli; Caryophanales; Staphylococcaceae.
UUAAGUUAUUAAGGGCGCACGGUGGAUGCCUUGGCACUAGAAGCCGAUGAAGGACGUUACUAACGACGAUAUGCUUUGGGGAGCUGUAAGUAAGCUUUGAUCCAGAGAUUUCCGAAUGGGGAAACCCAGCAUGAGUUAUGUCAUGUUAUCGAUAUGUGAAUACAUAGCAUAUCAGAAGGCACACCCGGAGAACUGAAACAUCUUAGUAACCGGAGGAAGAGAAAGAAAAUUCGAUUCCCUUAGUAGCGGCGAGCGAAACGGGAAGAGCCCAAACCAACAAGCUUGCUUGUUGGGGUUGUAGGACACUCUAUACGGAGUUACAAAGGACGACAUUAGACGAAUCAUCUGGAAAGAUGAAUCAAAGAAGGUAAUAAUCCUGUAGUCGAAAAUGUUGUCUCUCUUGAGUGGAUCCUGAGUACGACGGAGCACGUGAAAUUCCGUCGGAAUCUGGGAGGACCAUCUCCUAAGGCUAAAUACUCUCUAGUGACCGAUAGUGAACCAGUACCGUGAGGGAAAGGUGAAAAGCACCCCGGAAGGGGAGUGAAAUAGAACCUGAAACCGUGUGCUUACAAGUAGUCAGAGCCCGUUAAUGGGUGAUGGCGUGCCUUUUGUAGAAUGAACCGGCGAGUUACGAUUUGAUGCAAGGUUAAGCAGUAAAUGUGGAGCCGUAGCGAAAGCGAGUCUGAAUAGGGCGUUUAGUAUUUGGUCGUAGACCCGAAACCAGGUGAUCUACCCUUGGUCAGGUUGAAGUUCAGGUAACACUGAAUGGAGGACCGAACCGACUUACGUUGAAAAGUGAGCGGAUGAACUGAGGGUAGCGGAGAAAUUCCAAUCGAACCUGGAGAUAGCUGGUUCUCUCCGAAAUAGCUUUAGGGCUAGCCUCAAGUGAUGAUUAUUGGAGGUAGAGCACUGUUUGGACGAGGGGCCCCUCUCGGGUUACCGAAUUCAGACAAACUCCGAAUGCCAAUUAAUUUAACUUGGGAGUCAGAACAUGGGUGAUAAGGUCCGUGUUCGAAAGGGAAACAGCCCAGACCACCAGCUAAGGUCCCAAAAUAUAUGUUAAGUGGAAAAGGAUGUGGCGUUGCCCAGACAACUAGGAUGUUGGCUUAGAAGCAGCCAUCAUUUAAAGAGUGCGUAAUAGCUCACUAGUCGAGUGACACUGCGCCGAAAAUGUACCGGGGCUAAACAUAUUACCGAAGCUGUGGAUUGUCCUUUGGACAAUGGUAGGAGAGCGUUCUAAGGGCGUUGAAGCAUGAUCGUAAGGACAUGUGGAGCGCUUAGAAGUGAGAAUGCCGGUGUGAGUAGCGAAAGACGGGUGAGAAUCCCGUCCACCGAUUGACUAAGGUUUCCAGAGGAAGGCUCGUCCGCUCUGGGUUAGUCGGGUCCUAAGCUGAGGCCGACAGGCGUAGGCGAUGGAUAACAGGUUGAUAUUCCUGUACCACCUAUAAUCGUUUUAAUCGAUGGGGGGACGCAGUAGGAUAGGCGAAGCGUGCGAUUGGAUUGCACGUCUAAGCAGUAAGGCUGAGUAUUAGGCAAAUCCGGUACUCGUUAAGGCUGAGCUGUGAUGGGGAGAAGACAUUGUGUCUUCGAGUCGUUGAUUUCACACUGCCGAGAAAAGCCUCUAGAUAGAAAAUAGGUGCCCGUACCGCAAACCGACACAGGUAGUCAAGAUGAGAAUUCUAAGGUGAGCGAGCGAACUCUCGUUAAGGAACUCGGCAAAAUGACCCCGUAACUUCGGGAGAAGGGGUGCUCUUUAGGGUUAACGCCCAGAAGAGCCGCAGUGAAUAGGCCCAAGCGACUGUUUAUCAAAAACACAGGUCUCUGCUAAACCGUAAGGUGAUGUAUAGGGGCUGACGCCUGCCCGGUGCUGGAAGGUUAAGAGGAGUGGUUAGCUUCUGCGAAGCUACGAAUCGAAGCCCCAGUAAACGGCGGCCGUAACUAUAACGGUCCUAAGGUAGCGAAAUUCCUUGUCGGGUAAGUUCCGACCCGCACGAAAGGCGUAACGAUUUGGGCACUGUCUCAACGAGAGACUCGGUGAAAUCAUAGUACCUGUGAAGAUGCAGGUUACCCGCGACAGGACGGAAAGACCCCGUGGAGCUUUACUGUAGCCUGAUAUUGAAAUUCGGCACAGCUUGUACAGGAUAGGUAGGAGCCUUUGAAACGUGAGCGCUAGCUUACGUGGAGGCGCUGGUGGGAUACUACCCUAGCUGUGUUGGCUUUCUAACCCGCACCACUUAUCGUGGUGGGAGACAGUGUCAGGCGGGCAGUUUGACUGGGGCGGUCGCCUCCUAAAAGG